GCUUACGGCCAUACCACCCUGGAAAUGCCCAAUCUCAUCUGAACUCGGAAGUAAAGCAGGGUCGAGCCUGGUUAGUACUUGGAUGGGAGACCGCCUGGGAAUACCAGGUGCUGUAAGCU
This is a non-coding RNA of Danio rerio (zebrafish), 119 nucleotides long. Lineage: Eukaryota; Metazoa; Chordata; Actinopteri; Cypriniformes; Danionidae. The record is from Rfam.